This 482-nucleotide ribosomal RNA is filed under the name uncultured bacterium. RNAcentral's name for it is "partial 16S ribosomal RNA". It matches the Rfam family "Bacterial small subunit ribosomal RNA", at positions 30 to 507 of the family's 1533-position model. The record is from RNAcentral.
AUUGAACGCUGGCGGCAUGCUUUACACAUGCAAGUCGAACGGUAACAGGCCGCCAGGUGCUGACGAGUGGCGAACGGGUGAGUAAUGCAUCGGAACGUGCCCAGUCGUGGGGGAUAACUACUCGAAAGAGUAGCUAAUACCGCAUACGAUCUAUGGAUGAAAGCGGGGGACUGUAAGGCCUCGCGCGAUUGGAGCGGCCGAUGUCAGAUUAGGUAGUUGGUGGGGUAAAGGCUCACCAAGCCAACGAUCGGUAGCUGGUCUGAGAGGACGACCAGCCACACUGGGACUGAGACACGGCCCAGACUCCUACGGGAGGCAGCAGUGGGGAAUUUUGGACAAUGGGCGCAAGCCUGAUCCAGCAAUGCCGCGUGCAGGAAGAAGGCCUUCGGGUUGUAAACUGCUUUUGUACGGAACGAAACGGCUCUGGUUAAUACCCGGGGCUAAUGACGGUACCGUAAGAAUAAGCACCGGCUAACUACGUG